UGCAUUACGCAGGGGUCCUGGCGCCGGCAUCUGCCGCGGCAGCCGGGUGAGAGAUACCCAAGGAACCUGAUGCGGGUAAUGCCGCCGCAGGGACGCGUGAAGUCCGCUUCC
Molecule: non-coding RNA, 111 nt
Organism: Betaproteobacteria bacterium RIFCSPLOWO2_02_67_12
Lineage: Bacteria; Pseudomonadati; Pseudomonadota; Betaproteobacteria
Source: Rfam